GACGCUGGCGGCGUGCCUAACACAUGCAAGUCCGAAGCGCGAUUUAGUUUGGAUUGGAGACUUCGGUCAAAGAGAAGACUAUGAAAGCGGCGGACGGGUGAGUAACGCGUGAGCAACCUGCCCUGUACAGGGGGAUAGCCACUGGAAACGGUGAUUAAUACCCCAUAACCCCAAAGGAUCGCAUGGUCCAAUGGGCAAAGCCUUGGCGGUACAGGAUGGGCUCGCGUCUGAUUAGCUAGUUGGUGAGGUAAUGGCUCACCAAGGCAUCGAUCAGUAGCCGACCUGAGAGGGUGAACGGCCACACUGGAACUGAGACACGGUCCAGACUCCUACGGGAGGCAGCAGUGGGGAAUAUUGCACAAUGGGCGCAAGCCUGAUGCAGCAACGCCGCGUGAGUGAAGAAGGCCUUCGGGUCGUAAAACUCUGUCCUAAGGGAAGAAGAAGUGACGGUACCUUAGGAGGAAGCCCCGGCUAACUACGUGCCAGCAGCCGCGGUAAUACGUAGGGGGCAAGCGUUAUCCGGAAUCACUGGGCGUAAAGGGUGCGUAGGCGGCUGAUCAAGCCAGGGGUGAAAGGCUGUGGCUUAACCAUGGUAAGCCUUUGGAACUGGUCAGCUUGAGUGCAGGAGAGGAAAGCGGAAUUCCUAGUGUAGCGGUGAAAUGCGUAGAUAUUUAGGAGGAACACCCGUGGCGAAGGCGGCUUUCUGGACUGUAACUGACGCUGAGGCACGAAAGCGUGGGGAGCAAACAGGAUUAGAUACCCUGGUAGUCCACGCUGUAAACGAUGAAUACUAGGUUGUCGGGGGGUCAAAGCCCGGGUGCCGCAGCUAACGCAUUAAGUAUUCCGCCUGGGGGAGUACGGUCGCAGACUGAAACUCAAGGAAUUUGACGGGGACCCGCACA
RNAcentral lists this ribosomal RNA (902 nucleotides) under uncultured bacterium. Its description in RNAcentral is "bacterial SSU rRNA". It matches the Rfam family "Bacterial small subunit ribosomal RNA", at positions 32 to 927 of the family's 1533-position model. The record is from RNAcentral.